RNAcentral lists this ribosomal RNA (492 nucleotides) under uncultured bacterium. RNAcentral describes it as "partial 16S ribosomal RNA". It matches the Rfam family "Bacterial small subunit ribosomal RNA", at positions 29 to 507 of the family's 1533-position model. The record is from RNAcentral.
AGUGAACGCUGGCGGUAGGCCUAACACAUGCAAGUCGAACGGCAGCACAGUAAGAGCUUGCUCUUACGGGUGGCGAGUGGCGGACGGGUGAGGAAUACAUCGGAAUCUACUUUUUCGUGGGGGAUAACGUAGGGAAACUUACGCUAAUACCGCAUACGACCUACGGGUGAAAGCAGGGGAUCUUCGGACCUUGCGCGAUUGAAUGAGCCGAUGUCGGAUUAGCUAGUUGGCGGGGUAAAGGCCCACCAAGGCGACGAUCCGUAGCUGGUCUGAGAGGAUGAUCAGCCACACUGGAACUGAGACACGGUCCCGACUCCUACGGGAGGAAGCAGUGGGGAAUAUUGGACAAUGGGCGCAAGCCUGAUCCAGCCAUACCGCGUGGGUGAAGAAGGCCUUCGGGUGGUAAAGCCCUUUUGUUGGGAAAGAAAAGCAGCAGGUUAAUACCCCGCUGUUCUGACGGUACCCAAAGAAUAAGCACCGGCUAACUUCGUG